Molecule: ribosomal RNA, 298 nt
Filed under: Fisculla sp.
Lineage: Eukaryota; Cercozoa; Thecofilosea; Tectofilosida
Description: partial small subunit ribosomal RNA
Rfam family: Eukaryotic small subunit ribosomal RNA (bases 106-298)
Source: RNAcentral
GAUUUCUGGUAUGAUGCGCCUGACCCGCCUCUUCGGAGUGUGAGCGUCGGUGCGCGUCUGCCAUCAUUGUAGUUACUUAUCUGUGGCCUUUAUUGGCUGGAGGUUCGUGCCUACAUCGUUUACUUUGAAAAAAUUAGAGUGUUUAAAGCAGGCUUUUGCUCUGAAUAUAUUAGCAUGGAAUAAUAAUAUAGGACUUCGGUUCUAUUUUGUUGGUUUCUAUUACUGAAGUAAUGAUUGAUAGGGAUAGUUGGGGGUGCUAGUAUUCAGCGGCCAGAGGUGAAAUUCUUGGAUUCGCUGA